This 253-nucleotide ribosomal RNA is filed under the name uncultured bacterium. RNAcentral's name for it is "partial 16S ribosomal RNA". It matches the Rfam family "Bacterial small subunit ribosomal RNA", at positions 524 to 776 of the family's 1533-position model. The record is from RNAcentral.
UACGUAGGGGGCAAGCGUUGUCCGGAUUUAUUGGGCGUAAAGAGCGUGUAGGCGGCCAGCUAAGUCUGCUGUGAAAACUCGAGGCUCAACCUCGAGCUGUCGGUGGAAACUGUCUGGCUAGAGUCCGGAAGAGGAGAGUGGAAUUCCUGGUGUAGCGGUGAAAUGCGCAGAUAUCAGGAAGAACACCUAUGGCGAAGGCAGCUCUCUGGGACGGUACUGACGCUGAGGCGCGAAAGCGUGGGGAGCGAACAGG